Molecule: ribosomal RNA, 253 nt
Filed under: uncultured bacterium
Lineage: Bacteria
Also listed under: 1 other name
Description: partial 16S ribosomal RNA
Rfam family: Bacterial small subunit ribosomal RNA
Source: RNAcentral
GACGGAGGGUGCUAGCGUUGUUCGGAUUGACUGGGCGUAAAGGGCGUGUAGGCGGUUGGCCCAGUCCGGUGUGAAAUCCCGAGGCUUAGCCUCGGAAGUGCAUCGGAAACUAGCCGACUGGAGCGCGAUAGAGGAGGGUGGAAUUCCUGGUGUAGCGGUGAAAUGCGUAGAUAUCAGGAGGAACACCGGCGGCGAAGGCGGCCCUCUGGAUCGUUGCUGACGCUGAGACGCGAAAGCGUGGGGAGCAAACAGG